Molecule: long non-coding RNA, 1344 nt
Filed under: Nicotiana benthamiana
Lineage: Eukaryota; Viridiplantae; Streptophyta; Magnoliopsida; Solanales; Solanaceae
Description: long non-coding RNA (NBEN_LNC008929)
Source: RNAcentral
ACAGAAGCAAACUUCAUUCUUGUGUGUGUCUUUAACAUCUCAUGACUUUAGCCUCAAUUUGUUCUUGGUUUGAAACCAAUAACGUGAACAGGACUAUUUCAUCCAAACAAUUCCACUCUUUAGCCAAAAAUAUUUCGAUAGGAAUUUCAAAAGGCCCCCACAAUUUUGUUCAAAUUUUAAAGGGAUUGUGGCAGAAUUUCAUUCAACACAUCUCACGAAAGCAGAAGUUUCAUUCCAUUCAAAUAAUUUCAUGAGCAGGUAUAAUAAGAUUAUUACUUUUUUCUUUUCAUAUGAUUCAUACAACAUGAAUAGAAUAUGCAAAUGCAUAAAUUUCAUAAAUGACUCUAUAAAUAAAAGUAUUAGAGAUAUUUAUGUUCUUCAAUUUUCAUGUAUCAUAAUAUUUUAUCAUCUUCUAAUGGAUCUCAGAAAAAUACGAAAGUUGAAAAGAGUUUACUUUAUAAUAUUACUCAAGGCAAAAUGGUCUUAUGACAUUCCGAAAGAUUUUAUUGACAUACUUUUCAUGCAUUGCAUUCAUGUACAUUGGCCCGUGAACAGAUGACGUUAUAUACGCGCAUAUAUGUAUAUGAAAUAUGGGAAAGGUUAUGGUGUUAUAUAUGCACCACCACCUGAUCAGCUGGUAUACACUUAUAAUUUUUCCUAUAGUGACCAAUAUGAUAUGGUGGGAUACCCUCAGAAGUUGAUGAUGUUAUGAGACAUGUACCUAUGCACGACAUGACAUUCAUACACAUAUGCAUGACGCUAAAAGUAUUUCAUGAUUUACAGAGUUAUUCAGACUUACAGGUUGAGCCAAGUACUAUAUAUUUCUUCCAUGUCUGUUAUGUACUUAUUUAUGUGCCUUACAUACUCGGUACAUUUUUCCUAUUGACGUUCAUUUUUCCUGGGGACGCUGUGUUUCAUUCCUGCAGGUCCCGAUAGAUAGGUCGAGAGCUCUACAAGUAGGCUAUCAGCUCAGGAAAAGAUGUUGGUGCGCUCCAUUUGCUUCGGAGUUGCUUGUUUGGCUUGUAUAAUUUAGAAGUACAUUGUUUGGUAUGGGGGGACUCUGCCCCGACCUUUAUGACAUUUAUGUACUCUUAAAGGCUUGUAGAUAUAUGUCGUAUACGUGAAAUAUUAUACGGCCUUGUCGGCCUAUGUCUUGAUUUAAAAAUAAUUAUGUUGGCCUAUUAGGCCCAUAUGUCACGUGUAUAUGAUAAUGUAAUAAGAAAGAUAUGUUACGUUGGUAUUCAAUAGUGUAAGGUACCGGGUGCCCAUCUCGGCCAUCGGUUUAUGUCGUGACACCGAUGAUCUGUGAAUACCUCGCACGACACAUUGUAAAGAUAGUGCCUC